Long non-coding RNA from Carassius gibelio (silver crucian carp), 2616 nucleotides. RefSeq lists it as uncharacterized. The transcript is spliced from 2 exons. NCBI's taxonomy places the organism in Eukaryota, Metazoa, Chordata, Actinopteri, Cypriniformes, Cyprinidae. The record is from RefSeq and is a predicted model, not a curated record.
UAUGGGAUAUACUUUGAUAUAUUCCACUUAUAUUUAGGACAUUAAAUGCAUAUUUCUUAACGUUCACCUUUUUACUAAAGCAACACGAUGGCGGUGAGCCCGGGUGCGAGGGCCCGUUCAUCGCUGCUUGCAGCUUUAAUUAGGGCCCGAGCACCGAGGUGCGAGGACCCUCUUGUAUCUGCUUUGUUUUUUAUUAUUAUUAUUCUUCUUCUUCUUCUUCUUCUUCUUCUCCCGAAUGAAUCGCAUUUUUGAGGGCUUUAACAUGCUCAAAAAGUCAUGAAACUUUGCACACUCGUCAAACCUGGUGAAAAUUUUCGUCUGAUAUAGGAUUCAGAAGAGGGUGUGGCAAAAUGGCUCGACAGCGCCACCUAUACCAAGAAAAUCAACAGCCUUCCAGCUAUGUUUCACGUACAUGCACGAAAAUUGGCACACAUAUGUAACACACCAAUACCUACAAAAAAGACUCUUGGAGCGAAAUUCUAAACCCAACAGGAAGUCGGUUAUUUUUAAUAUUAUGAGCAUAUUUUGUGUAAUUUUGGUCAUUUCCAUGUGUUGUAUUUUAACGAACUCCUCCUAGAGAGUUCUUCAAAUCAACACCAAAUUUGGUAUGCCUAAUCUAAAGGCCUUUGCGAUGUUAAAUUGCGAAGAUCCUGACUUUUCGUUGAAGGGCGUGUCCGUGGCGGCCUGGCGAAUUUCGAUGAUUCGCCAUGAAAAAUGAAGUUGCUAUAACUCACACAUACAAUGACCAAUCUGCCCCAAACUUCACAUGUUUGAUGAGACUCCGAACCUGAACAGAUUGACAUGCCCAUAUUCAGUUAUAGUCAUAGCGCCACCUAUUGGCAACAGGAAGUGACAUAUUUUACGCUGCGACGAACUACUCCUAGAAAUUUUAUGACAUCAAUGUCUUUUUUGUGGUCAGUCUAAUCUAAAGGCCUGUGCGAUGUUCAGUUGUGAAGAUCUUGAGUUUUCGUUAAAAGGCUUGUUCAUGGCGCCGCGACGAAGUUCGAUGUCUCGCCGUGCGAAUAAAAGAUGUUAUAACUCAGGCAUAAGAUGUCCGAUCUUCCCCAAACUUCACAUGUGUGAUAAGAGUCCUGGCCUGAACAGAUCUUCAGGCCAAUAUUCCACCGGGUGUGGCAGAAUGGCUCUAUAGCGCCACCUAUACACUUUCAACGGAGUGCGCCUCGAGCUAUGUUUCACGUACAUGUACAAAAAUUGGUACACACAUGUAACACUCCAAUACCUACAAAAAAGUCUCUUGGUACGAAAUCCGGAUCCCAACAGGAAGUCGGUUAUUUUGAAUUUUCCCUUCAAAAUUGCUGUUGUUUUUGCCAUUUUCAGGGGUUGUACUUUAACGAACUCCUCCUAGAGAUUUAUUCAGAUCAACACCAAACUUGGUCAGUGUAAUCUAAAGCCCUUUGCGAUAAUAAAUUGCGAAGGACUUGAGGUUUCGUUAAAGGGCGUGUCCAUGGCGGCCUGACAAAUUUCGAUGUUUCGCCAUGAAAAAGGAAGUUGCUGUAACUCAGACAUACAAUGUCCAAUCUGCCCCAAACUUCACAUGUUGGAUAAGACUCUUGACCUGAACAGAUCUACAUGCCAAUAUUCAGUUAUAGUCAUAGCGCCACCUAUUGGCAACAGGAAGUUACAUAUUUUACACUGCGACAAACUACUCCUAGAAAUUUUAUGACAUCAGUGUCUUUUUUGUGGUCAGUCUAAUCUAAAGACCUGUGUGAUGUUUAGUUGUGAAGAUCUUGAGUUUUUGUUAAAAGGUGUGUCCAUGGCGCCGUGAUGAAGUUUGAUGUCUCGCCAUGGGAAUAAAAGAUGUUAUAACUCAGGCAUAAAAUGUCCAAUCUUGCCCAAACUUCACUUUUGUGUAAAGGGUCCUGGCCUAAACAGAUCUGAAGGCCAAUAUUCCAUCGAGUGUGGCAAACUGGCUCGAUAGCGCCACCUAUACAAUUUCAACGGAGUGCGUAUACACUUUAAACGGAGUGCGCCUCGAGCUAUGUUUCACGUACAUGUACAAAAAUCGGUACACACAUGUAACACACCAAUAUCUACGAAAAAGUCUCUUGGUACGAAAUCCGAAUCCCAACAGGAAGUCAGUUAUUUAGAAUUUUCUCUGCAAAAUUAGUGUUGUUUUGGCCAUUUUCAGGGGUUGGACUUUGAUGAACUCCUCCUAGAGAUUUAUUCAGAUCAACACCAAACUUGGUCAGUGUAAUCUAAAGCCUUUUGCGAUCUUAAAUUGCGAAGAUCUUGAGGUUUCGUUAAAGGGCGUGUCCAUGGCGGCCUGACAAAUUUCGAUGUUUCGCCAUGAAAUAGGAUGUUGUUUUAACUCAGGCAUUAAAUGUCCAAUCCUCCCCAAACCUCACAUGUUCGACAAAAGUCCUGCCCUGAACACAUCUGAAGGCCAAUAUUCCACUAUAAUGAUAGCACCACCUGCUGGCAAAAGGAAGAUUGGCACAUAUAUGGAAUAAACAUUGAUAUAUUCUACUUAUAUUUAUGAGUUUAAACGCAUAUUUCUCACCGUUCACCUAUUAACUAAAGCCACUCGCUGCCGGUGAGCCCGGGUGCGAGGGCCCGUUCAUCGCUGCUUGCAGCUUUAAUGUUUAAUUUAUAUUU